CUGCUGCCUUCCGUAGGAGUCUGGUCCGUGUCUCAGUACCAGUGUGGGGGACCUUCCUCUCAGAACCCCUACGCAUCGUCGCCUUGGUGGGCCGUUACCCCGCCAACUAGCUAAUGCGCCGCAUGCCCAUCCGUGACCGGGGUCGCCCCUUUGGCCGGCAGGGGAUGUCCCCUCCCGGCAUUAUGUUGUAUUAGGCGGGAUUUCUCCCGGUUAUCCAUCUGUCACGGCCAGGUUGCAUACGUGUUACUCACCCGUGCGCCGGUCGCCGG
RNAcentral lists this ribosomal RNA (269 nucleotides) under uncultured bacterium. RNAcentral describes it as "partial 16S ribosomal RNA". The record is from RNAcentral.